ACACUGGGGCCUCUGUCCCCAACACAUCAGCCAUGCAGCGAGCCCCUGCUCCAAGCAUACUCUAGAAAAUAAAGCAAAGGCCAGCUGGAGGUGAUCUUGGACCGGCGGCUGAUGCAGGAUGACAACCGGGGCCUAGGCCAAGGGCUCAAGGACAACAAGAGAACCUGCAACCGUUUCCGCCUCCUGCUAGAGCGGCGAACCGUGGGCAGCGAGGUCCAAGAUAGUCACUCUACCAGCUACCCAUCCCUCCUCAGCCACCUGACCUCCAUGUACCUGAACACCCCGGCGCUCGCUCUGCCUGUAGCCAGGACGCAGCUCCCAGGCCCUGGUCUGCGCUCAUUUCAUCCUCUGGCUUCCUCACUGCCCUGUGACUUCCACCUGCUCAACCUACGUACGCUCCAGGCUGAGGAGGACACCCUACCCUCGGCGGAGACCGCACUCAUCUUACACCGCAAGGGUUUUGACUGCGGCCUGGAGGCCAAGAACUUGGGCUUCAACUGCACCACAAGCCAAGGCAAGGUAGCCCUGGGGAGCCUGUUCCAUGGCCUGGAUGUGGUAUUCCUUCAGCCAACCUCC
Molecule: small RNA, 576 nt
Filed under: Pongo abelii (Sumatran orangutan)
Lineage: Eukaryota; Metazoa; Chordata; Mammalia; Primates; Hominidae
Description: processed transcript
Source: RNAcentral